RNAcentral lists this long non-coding RNA (1847 nucleotides) under Homo sapiens (human). RNAcentral describes it as "HSALNT0325579". The record is from RNAcentral. Lineage: Eukaryota; Metazoa; Chordata; Mammalia; Primates; Hominidae.
UUCCAGCUGGUUUUGAGGAAGUGAGCUGCCAUGUACUAGGCCACGUGGCAAGGGCCUGGUUGGGGACCUCCAGGGGUUGAGAGCAUCCUCUGGACAACAUGGAAAAAGAAAAUGAAAAUGGUGACCUCAGCCCUAUAGCUAGAAGGAAUUGAAUCCUGUCAACAACGAUACUCAUCACUCACUGCAGAUGUUACUUUAAGACAUUCUGGAGCAGCGUCAUGUGCAGGAACAAUAAGGAAGUGAGUGCUUUUGUAAUUCCUGAACAACUGUGUCUUACACUUACUAAGUUCUCUUGCCUGCCACCAUGUAAGAUAUGCUUUUACUCUUCCGCCUUCCACCGUGACUGUGAGGCCUCCCCAGCCAUGUGAAACUGCCUUUGAGCUUAUACUGAAUUAUACCACCAGCUUUCCUAGGUCUUGAAGCUUACAGACAGCAGAUCUUGGGACUUCUCAGGCACCAUAAUCAAUCAUAGAUAAAUGAUCCAAUGAUUCGGAACUUGAAAAGUGGUAGCUUUAUGAAUUCUCCUUAAGAAGAAACCUGUGCCCUGAUCUUGCCUACUCACCCAAAGGCACUGUGAGAUAGCAUCAAAGGAACAGCUAGUAAGAGACACAGAGCCAGAAAUCAGGGAAGUAAAAUACACUUGACAUCUACGUUCGGAAAGAAAUUUUAGGAGGCAGAAGCAAAUGGAUCAGAAGCUGCUUAUAUUUUUGCAAGAUUACCAAAGAAACCAUUGGUGGAGAAAGUUCUGUGACCAACUUGUCUGAGUCUAGUAAGAUUGAACGCUCACACACAAGUUUCAUGAAGUGGGUUUGAUACUUACAGAUAAGCAGCAAGGACCAACAGAAGCUGAUGAUCUAUGGUGAACUUUUUCCCAAGGCUCCGGAAAGCUGCCUAAAGUAGAUGGAGUCUUCUCUGUGUGUGCCCCACUGGUCCUGCAGUUGAAGGAUCCGGUAAAGCAGCCUGCCCUUGGUUUUAUACUCCAGAGGAACGUGAUUCGCUGGACUAAAGCAUUGAAGUGCAUCCUGUUUCCGGGGGGCACUGGAACAGAGCCUGGUCUGUUCUAGCCAGUCCCUUUCUAUCUCAGGAUAACAUUCUACAGUUAUUCUUGAGAACUAUAAUCAAAUAAGCAGGGAGAACUGGGAAAGCAGAGGCUCAUUGUGGAACCCUCAAGGAGCAUGGGGUCGUCUUCAUCCCUCAGUUUAUAAAUGGCCAAGGAGAGUAAUGCAACAAAAACUUCUCAGAGUUAAAAGCCAGAGUUCCUAAAGAACCGUGGACAAAGGGUUCUGUCUAGUGGGCAGAAUUCAUCCAGCGAAGGUCUCCUAACUACAGAGGGUCACAUCUGGAUCUGAUGGCACCUACAGAACUUGGACUCUGAGCGACAAUCAGUGACCAGGUGUGACUUUAUAUUAUCUCUGUCAGGGAAGGGUGAGAGUUUUCAAUGUGUGAACAUAGAAUAAAAUGGUCUGGUGACCAAAAGGCUCUAUUAAAGAUAAUAUGAGAUGUUCAAAACACUGGCUAUUUUCUUGGGAACAAAAGUUGAACUUCUAAAUCUUUCUCACAGAUUGUAGACCAAAGGAAUGAAUUCUGAUUGGCAGAAUAUAAGCCUACGUAAUAUAAAAAAGACUUCCAGGUUUGGCCCUCUGAGUCUUGACUCAUUACACACCAUCUCACAGCCUUAUUUUGCCUUUCAACAGGAAAUUUGGAACCCAGGUUUUCCCAACCUACAUCUACAAAAUGGAAUGGGUCUGAUUCGCAAGUUUUCAGAGAAAGAAGCCAACCUUAAUCAGACUGUGAUAUGAUGAGGAAAUAAAACUUGCUGUGCUAAUCAACUGAUACUGGGAAGCAUG